UGUUAAAAUUUCAUCCAUUUAUAUUAUUCAAAGCUGGCAUUGUUGACGAUUUCAUAAUAUAGUGACACAUAGCGUGCUAUAUGUACCUCAUGUUAAUGUAUAUAGAUUUGUUUUUAACCGUAGGAAUGAAUGAAAUUUUUAAUA
Molecule: non-coding RNA, 144 nt
Organism: Gossypium raimondii (Peruvian cotton)
Lineage: Eukaryota; Viridiplantae; Streptophyta; Magnoliopsida; Malvales; Malvaceae
Source: Rfam